This 261-nucleotide ribosomal RNA is filed under the name uncultured bacterium. Its description in RNAcentral is "partial 16S ribosomal RNA". It matches the Rfam family "Bacterial small subunit ribosomal RNA", at positions 95 to 354 of the family's 1533-position model. The record is from RNAcentral.
UUGGCGGACGGGUGGAGUAACGACGUGGAAGACCUGCCGUAUACUGGGGGAUAACACUUAGAAAUAGGUGCUAAUACCGCAUAAGCGCACAGCUUCGCAUGAAGCGGUGUGAAAAACUCUGGUGGUAUACGAUGGUUCCGCGUCUGAUUAGCUAGUUGGUGGGGUAAUGGCCUACCAAGGCAACGAUCAGUAGCCGGCCUGAGAGGGUGAACGGCCACAUUGGGACUGAGACACGGCCCAAACUCCUACGGGAGGCAGCAG